Molecule: ribosomal RNA, 450 nt
Filed under: uncultured bacterium
Lineage: Bacteria
Description: bacterial SSU rRNA
Rfam family: Bacterial small subunit ribosomal RNA
Source: RNAcentral
GUGGGGAAUAUUGGACAAUGGGGGGAACCCUGAUCCAGCGAUGCCGCGUGAGUGAAGAAGGCCUUCGGGUUGUAAAGCUCUUUAGGUUGGGAAGAAGUCUUGCCUGCGAAUAGUGGGUAAGAUUGACGGUACUAACAGAAUAAGCACCGGCAAACUCUGUGCCAGCAGCCGCGGUAAUACAGAGGGUGCGAGCGUUAAUCGGAAUGACUGGGCGUAAAGGGCGCGUAGGCGGAUUAGAAAGAGAUAUGUGAAAGCCCUGGGCUUAACCUAGGAAGUGCAUGUUUAACUAAUAAUCUGGAGUAUGAGAGAGGGUGAUAGAAUUUCCGGUGUAGCAGUGAAAUGCGUAGAUAUCGGAAAGAAUGUCGGUGGCGAAGGCGAUCACCUGGCUCAAUACUGACGCUGAGGCGCGAAAGCGUGGGGAGCAAACAGGAUUAGAUACCCGUGUAGUCC